RNAcentral lists this long non-coding RNA (940 nucleotides) under Equus asinus (donkey). RNAcentral's name for it is "lncRNA (ENSEASG00005037919.1)". Lineage: Eukaryota; Metazoa; Chordata; Mammalia; Perissodactyla; Equidae. The record is from RNAcentral.
AUUUGAUAGCCACUGUGGAGGCCAACCUCCCAGAUGGCCCCCAAUGAACCCUGCUUCCUGAUACCCACACCCUUGUGUAGUCGGUCCCCUUCCACACUGGACCAAGGUUGGUCUGUGUGGCCCAUAGCCUACAGCAGAGGUGAUAGUAUUUCACUUCCAAGGUUAGGUUGUAACAGACUUGUCUUCCAUCUAGCAUUCUCUCUUGCUUGCUUACUUGCUUACUCUCUUUUGAAUCACUUACUGGGAGAAGCCACUUUCAUUUUAUGAGAACAUUCAGGAAGCCUAUGGAGAGGCCCACGGAAAUAGAGGUAACCAGCCCACAGCCAGCAAGUAACUGAGACCUGCCAAAAUCUAGAUGAAUGAACUUGGAAGUGAAUUUUCCAGCCCUAGGCGACCUUUGAGAUGACUGCAAUCCCCAGACCCAACAUCUUGACUGCAACAUCGUGAGAGCCCCUGAGCCAGAACCACCCAACUAAGCCGUUCCCUGAUUGCUGACCCUCAGAAACAGGGAGACGAUAAUGAACAAAUCUGAGUGAAGUCAGCACUUCAAGAAGUUUGAGUCAAUCCACAACUCUCCAUCAGACAACAGACCCCACUUACCGGAAUAUGACUAUAUACAAAGUCACGUACCAAGAAUUCUGUUUUCCAAGGUAUCCUUGUCUUUAUCACAGAAUUAUUUGUAGUGGCUAACCUGGACACUGAGCAAAGGCAUCAUAUCUCCUAUAUCAUAUGCCAUACAAAAUAUGGAGCUGUGUUUGUUUUUUUCCUUCUUAAAUCCCUUUCUCUCUCCCUUGAGAUCUCAGAGUAAUUGAACCAUGUGAAUAAAUGAAUAUAGAGAGUAGAUUGGAUAAAGAGAAAAAAAUGGAAACUUGUGCUGGUUUGAAAUUACCUCAGGUCUGAAGUGACCAAAAGUCAUCACUCUUGGGUUGACAGGCCCCAG